Non-coding RNA from Podarcis lilfordi (Lilford's wall lizard), 77 nucleotides. The record is from the annotation of a GenBank genome assembly. Lineage: Eukaryota; Metazoa; Chordata; Lepidosauria; Squamata; Lacertidae.
ACUCAACAGGAUAGCUCAGUCAGUAGAGCAUGAGACUUUGAAUCUCAGGGCUGUGAGUUUGAGCCCCACGUUGAGCA